This 512-nucleotide ribosomal RNA is filed under the name uncultured bacterium. Its description in RNAcentral is "bacterial SSU rRNA". It matches the Rfam family "Bacterial small subunit ribosomal RNA", at positions 13 to 518 of the family's 1533-position model. The record is from RNAcentral.
CGGAUUCUGGCUCAGGAUGAACGCUAGCGGCAGGCUUAACACAUGCAAGUCGAGGGGCAUCGGGAGUAGCAAUACUUGCCGGCGACCGGCGCAAGGGUGCGUAACGCGUGAGCAACAUGCCCGUAUCAGGGGGAUAAUCCAUGGAAACGUGGUCUAAUACCCCAUAGUAAUUAUGUAAGGCAUCUUAUAUAAUUUAAAGCUUUGGUGGAUACGGAUUGGCUCGCGUGACAUUAGCUGGAUGGUAAGGUAACGGCUUACCAUGGCUACGAUGUCUAGGGGUUCUGAGAGGAAGGUCCCCCCACACUGGAACUGAGACACGGUCCAGACUCCUACGGGAGGCAGCAGUGAGGAAUAUUGGACAAUGGAUGGAAAUCUGAUCCAGCCAUGCCGCGUGCAAGGAAGACGGCCCUAUGGGUUGUAAACUGCUUUUGUAUGGGAGCAAUAAGGGCUACGUGUAGUCCGAUGAGAGUACCAUACGAAUAAGCACCGGCUAACUCCGUGCCAGCCGCCGC